This 84-nucleotide transfer RNA is filed under the name Rhipicephalus sanguineus (brown dog tick). RNAcentral's name for it is "transfer RNA leucine (anticodon CAA)". It matches the Rfam family "tRNA". From Rfam's summary of the family: Transfer RNA (tRNA) molecules are approximately 80 nucleotides in length. Their secondary structure includes four short double-helical elements and three loops (D, anti-codon, and T loops). Lineage: Eukaryota; Metazoa; Arthropoda; Arachnida; Ixodida; Ixodidae. The record is from RNAcentral.
GUCAGAAUGGCCGAGUGGUCUAAGGCGCCAGAUUCAAGUUCUGGUCCAUGUAUGUGGGCGUGGGUUCGAAUCCCACUUCUGACA